GAUGAACGCUAGCGGCAGGCUUAAUACAUGCAAGUCGAGGGGCAUCAAGGUACACGAAAGUGUAUUGUUGGCGACCGGCGGACGGGUGAGUAAUAGGUAGGUAACCUACCUCAUACUGAGGCAUAGCUGGGAGAAAUUCCAGGUAAUUCCUCAUGAGGUUAUAUGACACAUGUGAUAUAAUCAAAGGUAUCGCAAGGUACUGGUGUGAGAUGGGCUUACUGACCAUUAGCUAGUUGGUGAGAUAAGAGCUCACCAAGGCGAAGAUGGUUAGGGGUUUUGAGAGAGAGAUCCCCCACAUUGGAACUGAGAUACGGUCCAGACUCCUACGGGAGGCAGCAGUAGGGAAUAUUGGGCAAUGGGCGGAAGCCUGACCCAGCCAUGCCGCGUGAAGGAAGACGGCCUUAUGGGUUGUAAACUUCUUUACUAUGCGACUAACUAGAUUUACGAGAUAAUUCUAUAGAAUGUAGCAUAGACAAAAAGCACC
This 484-nucleotide ribosomal RNA is filed under the name uncultured bacterium. RNAcentral's name for it is "bacterial SSU rRNA". It matches the Rfam family "Bacterial small subunit ribosomal RNA", at positions 28 to 494 of the family's 1533-position model. The record is from RNAcentral.